GAUGAACGCUGGCGGCGUGCUUAACACAUGCAAGUCGAACGGAAAGGCUCCUGCUUGCCGGGGUCCUCGAGUGGCGAACGGGUGAGUAACACGUGGGUGAUCUGCCCUGCACUUCGGGAUAAGCCUGGGAAACUGGGUCUAAUACCGGAUAGGACGAUGGUUUGGAUGCCAUUGUGGAAAGUUUUUUCGGUGUGGGAUGAGCUCGCGGCCUAUCAGCUUGUUGGUGGGGUAAUGGCCUACCAAGGCGUCGACGGGUAGCCGGCCUGAGAGGGUGUACGGCCACAUUGGGACUGAGAUACGGCCCAGACUCCUACGGGAGGCAGCAGUGGGGAAGAUUGCACAAUGGGCGGAAGCCUGAUGCAGCGACGCCGCGUGGGGGAUGACGGCCUUCGGGUUGUAAACUCCUUUCGCUAGGGACGAAGCGCAAGUGACGGUACCUGGAGAAGAAGCACCGGCUAACUACGUG
Molecule: ribosomal RNA, 466 nt
Filed under: uncultured bacterium
Lineage: Bacteria
Description: partial 16S ribosomal RNA
Rfam family: Bacterial small subunit ribosomal RNA
Source: RNAcentral